UACGUAGGAGGCAAGCGUUGUCCGGAUUUAUUGGGCGUAAAGAGCGUGUAGGCGGUUCGGUAGGUCCGUUGUGAAAACUCGAGGCUCAACCUCGAGACGCCGAUGGAAACCCCCGAACUAGAGUCCGGAAGAGGAGAGUGGAAUUCCUGGUGUAGCGGUGAAAUGCGCAGAUAUCAGGAGGAACACCGGUGGCGAAGGCGGGUCUCUGGGCCGAUACUGACGCUGAGGAGCGAAAGCGUGGGGAGCGAACAGG
Molecule: ribosomal RNA, 253 nt
Filed under: uncultured bacterium
Lineage: Bacteria
Description: partial 16S ribosomal RNA
Rfam family: Bacterial small subunit ribosomal RNA
Source: RNAcentral